This 447-nucleotide ribosomal RNA is filed under the name uncultured bacterium. RNAcentral's name for it is "partial 16S ribosomal RNA". It matches the Rfam family "Bacterial small subunit ribosomal RNA", at positions 29 to 523 of the family's 1533-position model. The record is from RNAcentral.
AGCGAACGCUGGCGGCAGGCUUAACACAUGCAAGUCGAACGCACCGCAAGGGGAGUGGCAGACGGGUGAGUAACACGUGGGAACGUACCCUUUGGUUCGGAAUAACUUGGGGAAACUCAAGCUAAUACCGGAUAAGCCCUUAUGGGGAAAGGUUUACUGCCGAAGGAUCGGCCCGCGUCUGAUUAGCUAGUUGGUGGGGUAAUGGCUCACCAAGGCGACGAUCAGUAGCUGGUCUGAGAGGAUGAUCAGCCACACUGGGACUGAGACACGGCCCAGACUCCUACGGGAGGCAGAAGUGGGGAAGAUUGGGCAAUGGGGGCAACCCUGAUCCAGCCAUGCCGCGUGAGUGAUGAAGGCCUUAGGGUUGUAAAGCUCUUUUACCCGGGACGAUAAUGACUGUACCGGGAGAAUAAGCCCCGGCUAACUUCGUGCCAGCAGCCGCCGUAA